RNAcentral lists this ribosomal RNA (440 nucleotides) under uncultured bacterium. RNAcentral describes it as "partial 16S ribosomal RNA". It matches the Rfam family "Bacterial small subunit ribosomal RNA", at positions 338 to 795 of the family's 1533-position model. The record is from RNAcentral.
CCUACGGGUGACAGCAGUGGGGAAUAUUGCACAAUGGGGGAAACCCUGAUGCAGCGACGCCGCGUGAGUGAAGAAGUAUUUCGGUAUGUAAAGCCCUAUCAGCAGGGAAGAAAAUGACGGUACCUGACUAAGAAGCCCCGGCUAACUACGUGCCAGCAGCCGCGGUAAUACGUAGGGGACAAGCGUUAUCCGGAUUUACUGGGUGUAAAGGGGGCGUAGACGGUGAUGCAAGUCAGAAGUGAAAGCUCGGGGCUCAACCCCGGGACUGCUUUUGAAACUGUGUGACUGGAGUGCAGGAGAGGUAAGCGGAAUUCCUGGUGUAGCGGUGAAAUGCGUAGAUAUCAGGAGGAACACCAGUGGCGAAGGCGGCUUACUGGACUGUAACUGACGUUGAGGCUCGAAAGCGUGGGGAGCAAACAGGAUUAGAUACCCUAGUAGUC